RNAcentral lists this ribosomal RNA (481 nucleotides) under uncultured bacterium. RNAcentral's name for it is "partial 16S ribosomal RNA". It matches the Rfam family "Bacterial small subunit ribosomal RNA", at positions 28 to 507 of the family's 1533-position model. The record is from RNAcentral.
GAUGAACGCUGGCGGCGUGCUUAACACAUGCAAGUCGAACGAAGCAUUUAAGACAGAUUACUUCGGUUUGAAGUCUUUUAUGACUGAGUGGCGGACGGGUGAGUAACGCGUGGGUAACCUGCCUCAUACAGGGGGAUAGCAGCUGGAAACGGCUGGUAAUACCGCAUAAGCGCACAGUACCACAUGGUACAGUGUGAAAAACUCCGGUGGUAUGAGAUGGACCCGCGUCUGAUUAGCUUGUUGGCGGGGUAACGGCCCACCAAGGCGACGAUCAGUAGCCGACCUGAGAGGGAGACCGGCCACAUUGGGACUGAGACACGGCCCAGACUCCUACGGGAGGCAGCAGUGGGGAAUAUUGAACAAUGGAGGAAACUCUGAUGCAGCGACGCCGCGUGAGUGAAGAAGUAGUUCGCUAUGUAAAGCUCUAUCAGCAGGGAAGAUAGUGACGGUACCUGACUAAGAAGCUCCGGCUAAAUACGUG